AGACGUCUCCGUGUGAUGCGCGUGCUGCCGGAAGCGUCGCGUGGCCUCCUCGCACGCGGAUGAUCGUCGAUGACAUUUUUUGUCGAUCGCGGGAGGAGUGGGGGGUGGGGCUGCACCGCCUCUUCCCGAGCCCCCUGAGAUCAGGUCGCCUGCGCGUUUCACCCUCGCGCACAGCACCACUGCGCGUGGUAAACACAGGCGCGCAGAGACAAAGCUCACCCGUAUAGCCUCGAACGGUCUGUUGGGUCGAGUGCCGUUUACGAGCACGAGCUCAUGUGACCCAGGUCUCCCUCGGUGUGAAUGGCUCUCAGCAGGGCAUAUACAGAGGCCUUCCUCCCUCUGCUCACAGGCCCGGCCAUCCGCCCCUCCUCAUUUCAUCUGAAGGUCAACCUGUCAGAUGAGACGCCUGCCGCGGUCUCUGGGGCUCUCUCCCGGACACGAGAAACAAGCUCGACUCGAGCGCAGCCAUCUCCGUGGAGAGCCGGGUCGAGGCACGGGCUGAGAAGAGAAGUCCGGGGCGCAUCGUCGCCCGGCGGGGACGAGGAGCGGACGGGGGAGGGGCGAGUCGCGGUCGGUGUUGGGAAUGCG
Petromyzon marinus (sea lamprey) is the source of this 588-nucleotide long non-coding RNA. RefSeq lists it as uncharacterized. Lineage: Eukaryota; Metazoa; Chordata; Hyperoartia; Petromyzontiformes; Petromyzontidae. The record is from RefSeq and is a predicted model, not a curated record.